Lupinus angustifolius (narrow-leaved blue lupine) is the source of this 98-nucleotide small nucleolar RNA. It matches the Rfam family "Small nucleolar RNA R30/Z108". From Rfam's summary of the family: snoR30 is a C/D box small nucleolar RNA which acts as a methylation guide for 18S ribosomal RNA in plants. NCBI's taxonomy places the organism in Eukaryota, Viridiplantae, Streptophyta, Magnoliopsida, Fabales, Fabaceae. The record is from Rfam.
GGGUUUCACGAUGAGGAUAAAAAGCUCCCUCUUCUGAAAUCUUUGAGGAAGUCCGCUGGCAGAAUCGAACCUUAAAACUUAUUGCCACCACUGAGUGA